CAUAGCCCCUCUGGCCUAUUUCUUACCACAGUCCCCUUUGUACUUUGGGUUCCAGCUGUCCUAACAACUGAAAAUUGCCAGAGUGCCAUGCUAUUUUGUACCUCUGCUUUCUUUCAUUCGUUCUGCUGCUUCUCUCUCGGUUGGCCAGCUUUUCCACCCUGUCAUCUGAUUGUAAGGACUUCAAGAUCAAACUUACCCGCUACCAUAUCUGUGAAUAUACAAGUAGUAAAGUGUAGUGAUUAAGAGUAGGGGCCCUAGAGUCACACACCCGAUGUGGGACUCGAUCCUAGGAGUCCAGGAUCACACGCUGAGCCGAAGGCAGACACUUAACCGUUGUACCACCCAGGCGUCCCACACAGCCUGAUUUAAAAUCCUGCCUCCCAAAAAAAUAAAAUAAAAAAUAAAAUCCUGCCUCCCUUUUCUAUCUGUAGCCAAGCUUUUUGUUGUUUUUUAAGAUUUUAUUUACUGAGAGACAGAGAGAGGCAGAGACACAGGCAAGAGGGAGAAGCAGGCUCCAUGCAGGGAGCCUGAUGGCGGGACUCAAUCCUGGGUCUCCUGGAUCAGGCCCUGGGCUGAAGGCAGGUGCUAAACCACUGAGCCACCCAGGGAUCCCUGAGCCUCUCUGUCCUUGUCUCUAAAUUGAUCACAAAAAAACUUAAAACCCUGCCUGACACAUGAACAUUCAAUAAAUAUCACUUGAUAUUUUUAUGAAUCCUUUCCCUCUCCCUCCUGUCCUCCUCUCCCAGAAUUGAGUACCCUCACCAUGUGUGCUCCCAUGCUGUGGAGUCUCCUUCUACCAUUAACUUGUUUAUCCGUUCCCCAGGAGACACUAGCAGUUUGAGAGCAGAAACCAUACAUGUCCUAAUAGCCUCAGUUUUUGGCACAGUUGAAUGAAUGAAACAUAGCAGAUAGGUCACGAUUAAAAUCUAAGUGUUUACUAAUACCAAUACUCAAUGUAGUUCACAUCUUGGCCAACUGGUGUGCAAGCCAAAAAAAUUAGAAGUUGAAUUUGAACCCUUUUGAGGACCAUUUGAAUGGUAAAUGGUUCUCCAACAUUUCAUUUUCAGGCUGUAGGUGUCCUUAGGUCUAAAAUGAGUCUCCUGUAGACAGCAAAUAGAUGGUCUUGCUUAUUUAUCCAGUCCGAAACCCUGUGUCUUUUGAUGGGAUCAUUUAGCCCAUUCACGUUCAGAGUAACUAUUGAAAGAUAUGAAUUUAGUGUCAUUGUAAUACCUAUUCAGUCCCCGUUUUUGUGGAUUAUUUCUUUGGGCUUCCUCUUUCUUUUACAGAGUCCCCCUUAAUAUUUCUUGCAGAGCUGGUUUGGUGAUCACAUAUUCUUUCAUCUCCACAAGGCUAAAUUUAAUUGUACUUUGUACAUUAUUCUGUGAGGUCAGAACUGGAAGAGCUUAUCUGGUGCAGAAACUUCCAGAAUGUUCUGCAGAGCCUGGAAUGUUCUUGAAAGUUGUCUUAGAGCCUCUGGGCCCUGUCCCAUCUUCUACCAAAGUAAAUAUGCUUUGAUCUAUGUCAUAUAUUGGGCUUCACAUAAAUUUAUGUUUAACCAAAGAGUUCAAAGUCCAAAUAUAUUCUCUUUAAAGCAAUUUAACCUCUUAUGUUAUCAAGAGGGAAAUGGCUCCAGAGUCAGAAAUAGCUUGUUGGUGCCAACCAGACUAGAACCCAGACCUCUGCAUACGUCCCAUGACUUUCCCAAAUCCUAUAGAUUGUAUUCACAUAUUUAGACUUUGUGAGAUGUGGAGGGUUUUCAACAACAAAUUCCUAGGUUCCAGCAGUUGCUAAAUAACGUAAGGGAGUUUUAAAAAAAUAUUUUUUUAUUCAUUCAUGAGAGGAUGUUUUUUGGAGUUUAAAAAAAAUAUUUUAUUUUGGGAGUUUUAAAAAAAAUGGGGGGGGAGUUUUAAAAAAUUAUUUUAUUUAUUCAUUCAUGAGAGACAGAGAGGCAGAGGGAGAAGCAGGCUCCUCAGGGGGAGCCUGAUGUGGGACUCAAUCCCAGGACCCCGAGAUCACAACCUGAUCCAAGGGCAGAUGCCCAACCACUGAGGCACCCAGGUGCCCCAAGGUAUUGUUUCAAAAUGUUCUGAAAUCUAGAAUUAAGCAAUGUCAGGAACAAGCUAAUGUUAGCUAUCAAAAUUUAAAUAAAAUGUAUAAAUAACUCAUUUUCCCCUGCUGUUUAUAUGCAGUGUGCCAAGAUUUAACAACAUAAAGGAAAAGUAAGGUGGGAGAGACUUGGUAUUCUUGGUAUGCUUGCUCACCUCCAGUGAGAGGGGUGGAGCCAGAACUGGAAGGGAGUGACCAGGAAGAUGCACUGCCUUUCCAGCCUGAAACUGGUAUGCCUUUCCUUGUUAAUGACUUCCACCUGAAAGCUGCUCUGUGUCAGAGAACUGGCCCCCUACAUAUAGUCCAUGUGGCUGUUUGCAGUUAAUGGGACAGAAAAUCAUUCCAAUAAAAUACGGCCUUUGGAAAAGAUGUUUUACUCAAGUAGUUUGAGAAAAUUACAUUUCCAGCAUGAUUGUGGCAAAAAAAGCAAAUCUUUGACCCCUUUAUCCCCUUUCUUGUGUUCCAAAAAAACAGGCUACUAUGCUAAUGGCAGCUGAAAUUAGAACGAACUUAAAAACCUCAAAAAUUUGUAUCAAUACAGUCAUUAGUAUCUCACCAUCAAGUUCCAUAUUCAGCAUUCUGAGAGGAUAUAGAAAGGUCAAUAAAUGUACCAAUUUUUUGUUUUUGUCUCAGGAGUCAGAAACAAAAACAAUAUGCUAGUACAUAUAAACAACUAUGAAAGGGACAGGACUCAAAGUAUACCUGUGUAGAGAGAAUCACAGAACUUUAGAAGCCUAGAAAGGCUCUCAGAAGAUCACUCCAAGGUGCAUUCAUUUUUUACAGUUUUCCUGACAGAAUAAAUAAGUAGUGUGGUGGUGUUCACCACUUCAUAAAACAGCCCCUCCCAUGUUUCUUAAGGCAUUUAAUGCUAAGGUCUCUCACAGGCUGCAUCAAGGUGUCACUUGGAGCUGUGUUUUCAUCCCAAGGUUUGCCUGGGGACAAAAUGUGGGACAGAUGUGCUUUCCUGCUCACACAGUUGGCAGAAUGCAGUUCACUGUGAGUUGUAGAACCAAUGCCCUCAGGUUCUUGCUAUUGGGUGGAGGCUAUCCUCAGUCCCCUGCCAUGUAUGCCUUUCCAUGGGGUAACUCACAACAGAGCAGCAGGCUUGCAUCAAAGUAUGCAAGAGAAAAAAAAAAAAAA
Molecule: long non-coding RNA, 3246 nt
Filed under: Canis lupus familiaris (dog)
Lineage: Eukaryota; Metazoa; Chordata; Mammalia; Carnivora; Canidae
Description: lncRNA (ENSCAFG00000050195.1, ENSCAFG00845008490.1)
Source: RNAcentral